Non-coding RNA from Salmo salar (Atlantic salmon), 2517 nucleotides. The record is from RefSeq and is a predicted model, not a curated record. NCBI's taxonomy places the organism in Eukaryota, Metazoa, Chordata, Actinopteri, Salmoniformes, Salmonidae.
AGGAGGUUGCCUGGUCCCAGAUCCGUUUGUGCUUUUGCCUACUCUAUUGUCAUUGCCAAGCCAAACAUUGUUGGUAUGGCAAUUCAAUGAAGAUUUGGAAAGAGAGCACUAACAAAUGAUACCCAGGCUAUGGAGCAGGCUCCAUAUGGGAAGAAGGAAUUUCCCGCUCUUUUUCUCUUAUUUUAUUACUGUAGUAGUAAAUUACAUUUUCACCAUGUCUCCUGCACUCUUUAACUCUCUGUUUAUUCUGCUCAUAUUCAUCCCUAAUGGGCUCUCUCAGUUGGUGAGAACACAGCAGGUUGUCACAGCAACCCUGGGAGAAGAUGCAGUCUUAAACUGUGAGCUCAUGAAACCCAAAGACUUGCGGCAAGUCACCUGGCAAAAAGAGACAACUGGGGCGAAUGAAAAUGUGGCCACUUACAGCAAACGAGGUCCCGAUGUCAACCUACCUUUUCAGGGGAAAGUGGAGUUUGAAGACGAGGGACUGCAGAACUGUUCUAUUGUCAUCAGAGGAGUGUCAAGAGGAGAUGAGUCCUGCUACAAGUGUCUGUUUAACACCUUUCCAGAUGGACCUAUCAGUGGAAGGACCUGCCUUCUUGUAAAUGAGCUGUAUGGACCCUCACUCCUCAUCACACAAACCAACAACAGUCACACCACUCUGUCCUGUUCUGCUACUGGACGACCUGUUCCUAUAGUGACCUGGGAUGACAUAAUGAUAGAACAUUCCACCAUGGUUGAUGUCACCCAUCCCAAUGGAACGGUCACUAUGACAACUACUGUAACAGUGGUAGUGUCCAGUCUAACUGACAAAGAAGUUAGGUGUGUUGCUUCUAUGUUCUUCAGUGAUGUCACCAAGAAUGCUUCCAUGGUGAUUCCAGCUUCAAUUACUGGUCAAUCUCAGGUCUCUGAUGAUGACAGGAUCAGUGGUGCAGUGGUUGGUGCAGUGAUGGGUUCAGUGUUGUGUUCAGUGUGUCUCAUUGCUGUAUUCUGUGUAAUAUGGCUGCAAAAGAGGAGAAAAGAUACCUCUUCCAGAAAACCCCCAGUUCCUGACCCUGAAAUCAGCCCAACUCCCUAAAAGACACCAGCAACAUCCAAACAUGUCACACCAACCUCCAGUCCAUCACAAAUGUGAGUAUCUCUUCCACAUUUUUAACAGCUUUUUAAGAUAAGUAAUAAUUUUAUUACCUUCAUACUCGUCAACCAGCUCACCAAACAGCUCAACAAUGAAGCGUAGGAUGACUAAGAAGUAGGUUUACUUUCUCAUACUUUCAUAGUCUCUUAAUGUCUUCUGUAAUCUCUCUCAUUGAUCAAGAAACUUGGGAAUGAAACUUGGAAAUGUAUUUCUGUGGUGUAUGUUUCCUGCCGGUACAUUGUCUGGUUUGAUCUCUUUCACACCAAGCUCCAGUCCGUCACAAAUCUCGUCUGAGAAGCGCAGGAUACAACCAGCUCAGGAGGCUGUAAAGAAGAACCUUUUCAAUGACUACUGAGUGACUGUACUCAUAUUGCCACACACACCUGAUCAUUACUGACUAAUCUGGUUCAUGUUAUUUUAUCUUUAAAAGUCUGUGACAAAUCAAUCUGUUUUUUUUAAAAGCAAUCCUUUUUAAGAUGUUGUUUUGAGACUGUCAUAACAGUUAUCUUAGUUGCCUGGUUUGGCUCAGGUCAUGAUACCCUAGGGCCUAGGGAGAGUUGUGCAGGUCAGUUUAGAGAUUGUAAGGAGAAAACAAAAAGCUCUCCGAGACAUUUACAAAGACCACACACGUAAGAGGGGAAGAGCAAUCGUAUUGGACACUUCCACUGAACAAUCAAUAUGCAGUUCUGCUAUUAGGUAACACUCAGGUUUUGACCUCUUAAAACCAAGAGAGACAGCAUCAGUACUGCUUUUAAAUGUUUAUCUUGUAUAUACCUUGUAAGCAUGUGCAUCUGUCAUGUGUGUUGCUGUUUCUUUAUCUUGUGUGACGUGCCACAACUGAUGCUCCUUCUGGAAAAUGUUUCAUUUAUUAUAUUAAAUUUAAGGUUUCAAAGGGAGGGUAUAUUAUCAGUAAACUACCAGAAUUUUGGUAACUUUCAAGUUUUGGGGGGAAUUUUAUAAGAUCACAUCAAGUGAGCAUUUUUGGGUACUUCAGAUUAUCACAUAUCUGUAAUUAUCUCUGGCCCUCUGUGUAGCCUUAUAUGUGAAUCAAUUUUUAGUUAUUCAAGUAUAAGUGACCAAAGUUGCCAUGCUUCUCAUAAACGUCUUAAUGAUCGGACCAAACUGCAGCGGGUAUCGUGCUCAUCUUCCUUUUUUAUUUGGAUAAACGUGAACACUUAACAAAAAAUAACAAACACCGACGACGACGACGACGAAAAACAGUCCCGUAAGGCUACACAGCUAUACAUGGAACAACCACCCACAAAACACAAGACAAAAACCCCUAUUUAAAUAUGGCCUCUAAUCAGAGGCAACGAGAUACAGCUGCCUCCAAUUAGAGUCCAAUCCCAAACAAUACCACAUAGAAAUAGAAAUACUAGAAAAUC